RNAcentral lists this RNase P RNA (235 nucleotides) under Candidatus Fermentibacterota bacterium. Its description in RNAcentral is "partial RNase P RNA component class A". It matches the Rfam family "Bacterial RNase P class A", at positions 1 to 234 of the family's 367-position model. From Rfam's summary of the family: Ribonuclease P (RNase P) is a ubiquitous endoribonuclease, found in archaea, bacteria and eukarya as well as chloroplasts and mitochondria. Lineage: Bacteria; Pseudomonadati; Candidatus Fermentibacterota. The record is from RNAcentral.
GAGGCAGCCCGGGUAGCCGCGGAGGCGCGCUUCGGUGGGCCUUCGAGGAAAGUCCGGACACCGUAGAGCAGGGUGCUGGAUAACGUCCAGCGGGGGAAACCCCAGGGAAAGCGCCACAGAAAGGACACAGCACACCGGCAGGUCCGGUUGCGAAGGUGAAAUGGUGCGGUAAGAGCGCACCGGCGUCGUGGUGACACGGCGGCCAGGCAAGCCCCACCCGGUGCAAGGCCGAAUA